GGUCACCGGAGUCUAUGGGGCUGCUUUGUCAGGAAGGUUGACAUCCCCUUCCUCCUUCCCUGCACCGUGUAGGAUCUUCCUGAAGCUGAAGGCUCAAUAUACAAGGAUGACCUUCCCAGAGAGAGGAAAACACUUGUCUUUGACAAAGAGGAUCAGUGUCGGAGAGAGGUAAAUGUUUAGUCUCACUGGUCUAACUCUUUCCCACACUACAUCCUCUCUUGGCAGCCAUGCCAAAUCACA
RNAcentral lists this small nuclear RNA (240 nucleotides) under Panthera pardus (leopard). Its description in RNAcentral is "7SK RNA (ENSPPRG00000020193.1)". It matches the Rfam family "7SK RNA", at positions 42 to 331 of the family's 331-position model. From Rfam's summary of the family: 7SK was discovered as an abundant small nuclear RNA in the mid-70s but a possible function has only recently been suggested. Two independent studies have found that 7SK RNA binds the CDK9/cyclin T complex (known as elongation factor P-TEFb). Lineage: Eukaryota; Metazoa; Chordata; Mammalia; Carnivora; Felidae. The record is from RNAcentral.